Non-coding RNA from Paramuricea clavata, 73 nucleotides. NCBI's taxonomy places the organism in Eukaryota, Metazoa, Cnidaria, Anthozoa, Malacalcyonacea, Plexauridae. The record is from the annotation of a GenBank genome assembly.
GAUCGCGUAGCUCAGUUGGAAGAGCAUUGGGCUAGUAUUCCAAAGGUCGUAGGUUCGAAUCCCGCCGUGGCCA